GAUGAAGAACGCAGCGAAAUGCGAUACUUGGUGUGAAUUGCAGAAUCCCGUGAACCAUCGAGUCUUUGAACGCAAGUUGCGCCCGAAGCCAUUAGGCCGAGGGCACGCCUGCCUGGGCGUCACACGUCGUUGCCCCCCCAUCUACUCCUUCGGGAUUGCGGGGGGCGGAUGAUGGCCUCCCGUGCGCCUCGCCGCGCGGUUGGCAUAAAUGCCAAGUCCACGGCGACGCACGCCACGACAAUCGGUGGUUGCGAAACCUCGGUUGCCCGUCGUGUGCGGUCGUCGCGCAUCGAGGGCUCGAAAAAAUUGCCGGGUUCCGGCUCGGCUUUCAACGCGACCCCAGGUCAGGCGGGGUUACCCGCUGAAUUUAAGCAUAUCAAUAAGCGGAGGA
This 391-nucleotide unclassified non-coding RNA is filed under the name soil metagenome. Its description in RNAcentral is "partial contains 5.8S ribosomal RNA, internal transcribed spacer 2, and large subunit ribosomal RNA". The stretch from base 1 to 122 matches the Rfam family "5.8S ribosomal RNA", at positions 35 to 154 of the family's 154-position model. The record is from RNAcentral.